RNAcentral lists this ribosomal RNA (1014 nucleotides) under uncultured bacterium. Its description in RNAcentral is "bacterial SSU rRNA". It matches the Rfam family "Bacterial small subunit ribosomal RNA", at positions 43 to 1075 of the family's 1533-position model. The record is from RNAcentral.
CGUGCUUAACACAUGCAAGUCGAACGAUGAACCUUAGCUUGCUAAGGGGAUUAGUGGCGCACGGGUGAGUAAUAUAUAGAUAAUCUGCCUCUUAGUCUGGGAUAGCCAUUGGAAACGAUGAUUAAUACUAGAUACUCCUUCUAACUCUAAUGUUAGUUGGGAAAGUUUUUCGCUAAGAGAUGAGUCUAUAUCCCAUCAGCUUGUUGGUAGUGUAAGAGACUACCAAGGCUAUGACGGGUAGCGGGUUUGAGAGGAUGAUCCGCCACACUGGUACUGAGACACGGACCAGACUCCUACGGGAGGCAGCAGUGAGGAAUAUUGCACAAUGGGGGAAACCCUGAUGCAGCAACGCCGUGUGGAGGAUGACGCAUUUCGGUGUGUAAACUCCUUUUAUGAGUCAAGAAAAUGACGGUAGCUCAUGAAUAAGCACCGGCUAACUCCGUGCCAGCAGCCGCGGUAAUACGGAGGGUGCAAGCGUUAUUCGGAAUCACUGGGCGUAAAGGACGCGUAGGCGGGAAGCCAAGUCUGAUGUGAAAUCCUAUGGCUCAACCAUAGAACUGCAUUGGAAACUGGUUACCUAGAGUAUGGGAGGGGGAGAUGGAAUUAGUGGUGUAGGGGUAAAAUCCGUAGAUAUCACUAGGAAUACCGAAAGCGAAGGCGAUCUCCUGGAACAAUACUGACGCUAAGGCGUGAAAGCGUGGGGAGCAAACGGGAUUAGAUACCCCGGUAGUCCACGCCCUAAACGAUGUUCACUAGUCGUCGGAAUGCUAGUCAUUUCGGUGAUGCACUUAACAGAUUAAGUGAACCGCCUGGGGAGUACGGUCGCAAGAUUAAAACUCAAAGGAAUAGACGGGGACCCGCACAAGUGGUGGAGCAUGUGGUUUAAUUCGAAGAUACGCGAAGAACCUUACCUAGCCUUGACAUUGAAGAAAUAGACCAGAGAUGGACUAGUGCCCUUCGGGGAAUCUGAAAACAGGUGCUGCACGGCUGUCGUCAGCUCGUGUCGUGAGAUGU